RNAcentral lists this transfer RNA (64 nucleotides) under Bankia gouldi. Its description in RNAcentral is "tRNA-Thr". It matches the Rfam family "tRNA". Rfam says of the family: Transfer RNA (tRNA) molecules are approximately 80 nucleotides in length. Their secondary structure includes four short double-helical elements and three loops (D, anti-codon, and T loops). Lineage: Eukaryota; Metazoa; Mollusca; Bivalvia; Myida; Teredinidae. The record is from RNAcentral.
GGCUGGGUAGUUUAAGAAGAAUAGUAGUUUUGUAAUCUGUUGGUGCCUGUCUAGGUCCUAGCCA